GUCACCAUGGUGCGAAUGAAUGUUCUGGCAGAUGCUCUCAAGAGCAUCAACAACGCGGAGAAGAGGGGCAAACGCCAGGUCCUCAUCAGGCCGUGUUCCAAAGUCAUCGUUCGGUUCCUAACUGUGAUGAUGAAGCAUGGCUACAUUGGUGAAUUCGAGAUCAUUGAUGAUCACAGAGCUGGGAAGAUUGUUGUGAACCUCACAGGAAGGUUGAACAAGGUACGUAAGACUCAUGAAAGAGACAUGUCUUGAUUCUCAAAUUGCAGCUGUCUGUAACUUAACGAGUUGUUGACAUCCGUGCUCCACAUCCCCAAUUUAAGGAAUUUGGCUAAGGUUAUGCUUUUUUAAUGCACAUUUCACUUGUUUUCUUUGGUUACUUGGCUCAAGUUACUGGUUUUGUGCAGGGAUAGAGCUAAACUCUGCUAACACGGGGAAUUAACUUGAUAGUUGACUACUGAUGUCAGUGGCUCGAACUUUGGCUUACCAUGGCUCAGUACAUAAAUAACAAUCUUGUAAUGGUGGUAUGCAAGGUCUGUUAUAUUUUCAAGAUGGGGUCUCAUUAAGUAGAGAGGUUGGCUUUGAACUCUGAGGUCAAUACUUCUGUCAAGUUGCUGAAUCAAAGGUAUACGAUGCACACGUUCAAUGGUGUGAUGGUUUUUAAUAAAACUUAGUCUUUUGAGUAAAUGGCUAAGCAGUAGAGGGUUCAUGGGCCUGGGUUUGUUGCUGUAGGUUGUAGCUGUCUGAAAUCUAGGCUGCCUGUCAGUUUUAAUUGUCAUCAACAUAGCUAAAUAUACUAUCUCAUUCCUGUCCUU
RNAcentral lists this long non-coding RNA (812 nucleotides) under Rattus norvegicus (Norway rat). RNAcentral's name for it is "long non-coding RNA NONRATT003083". Lineage: Eukaryota; Metazoa; Chordata; Mammalia; Rodentia; Muridae. The record is from RNAcentral.